UCUUCCUCCUAAGCUGGCAGGAUGAAGUCUGCCUAGAUACUGUCACGUUGAAGAAGUGGUCUGUGUCACUGUGCUGGUGGUGCCAAGGACUCCAGCUUCAUGAGGAGGCCAAACUGGACAAUGAGAUUUGACAAGCAACGCUCUCAGGACUUGCCUUCACCUGGUGCCUUUGGAUUCCUGAGCCGGGAUUCCAGGCUUGCUGAUGGAUGGAUGACAGCGAUUCUGAAGAGCUUUACAGCAGUGGUGACAAUCUGGGAGAUCAGCAUCUGAACAAGAGACGUUCUCCUGUUUCUGAUUCAUCAGAAGAGAUCAGCAAGGCUGCUGAGGAGUCUCUGCUCUCAUCUUCAAGCACUCUCAAUGUCAGCAGAAAAGAAUAUUAAGCAUCUUACUGAGGAAAUGUACAGAUUGCCCAACAUAAAGUACCUUCAUCUGGAAGGAAAUGUCAUAUCCACGCUUCCCGAGGAUCUGUUUCAAAAGCUGCCACAUCUUGUUUGGCUGGAUGUCUGCUAUAACGAGAUUAAAGCUCUUCCCCCUGGAAUCGGUUUCCGCAGGACACUUGACUUUGCUGACAGCCCUGAAUCUGAGACAUUGUCUCCUUGAAUUUCCUCCUAAAGAGGUCAACAAAAGGGAUUAAAACCCAUCCUGUCCUUUCUUCAGCAUUUUGGGAAGGAAACCUACCCUGCAUGGAGCCAGCCACUUCAGCGGUAAAGAAAUGCUUUGGGAAUGGUGCAGCCAGGCAAAGCUGAGGGAAGAAAGAAGAGAAGCGUUUAGAUUCUUACCUACAAAGGCAGAUAUGGUACCCAAAGAUGCACCCUAUGCACCUGCUAACAUCAGUUACCACACCAUGAACAAGAGAGCUGAGAAACAGGACCGUACACCUCAGACAGUGGAAGAAUGGAUGCUGGAAGUAAAGGGUGAAGCUUCAAGAUCCUGCUGGGAAAAGAAGCUGGAGCAGCACAUCAAACAGCACACAGCAGCGGUGAAAGCACGGGGGCAGCAGUUAAAAGGAGCUUCCCAAGUGGAAAGGAAGAAAGCAAACCAAGAUGCUGAGGCAGUGAGCAGCUGCUCUUUGGA
Molecule: long non-coding RNA, 1074 nt
Organism: Neopsephotus bourkii (Bourke's parrot)
Lineage: Eukaryota; Metazoa; Chordata; Aves; Psittaciformes; Psittacidae
Exons: 8
Source: RefSeq, a predicted model, not a curated record